GACGAACGCUGGCGGCGUGCUUAACACAUGCAAGUCGAACGGAAAGGCCCUGCUUUUGUGGGGUGCUCGAGUGGCGAACGGGUGAGUAACACGUGAGUAACCUGCCCUUGACUUUGGGAUAACUUCAGGAAACUGGGGCUAAUACCGGAUAGGAGCUCCUGCUGCAUGGUGGGGGUUGGAAAGUUUCGGCGGUUGGGGAUGGACUCGCGGCUUAUCAGCUUGUUGGUGGGGGAGUGGCUUACCAAGGCUUUGACGGGUAGCCGGCCUGAGAGGGUGACCGGCCACAUUGGGACUGAGAUACGGCCCAGACUCCUACGGGAGGCAGCAGUGGGGAAUAUUGCACAAUGGGCGGAAGCCUGAUGCAGCAACGCCGCGUGCGGGAUGACGGCCUUCGGGUUGUAAACCGCUUUAGCCUGUGACGAAGCGUGAGUGACGGUAAUGGGUAAAGAAGCACCGGCUAACUACGUG
This 468-nucleotide ribosomal RNA is filed under the name uncultured bacterium. RNAcentral describes it as "partial 16S ribosomal RNA". It matches the Rfam family "Bacterial small subunit ribosomal RNA", at positions 28 to 507 of the family's 1533-position model. The record is from RNAcentral.